This 253-nucleotide ribosomal RNA is filed under the name uncultured bacterium. RNAcentral's name for it is "partial 16S ribosomal RNA". It matches the Rfam family "Bacterial small subunit ribosomal RNA", at positions 524 to 776 of the family's 1533-position model. The record is from RNAcentral.
UACAGAGGUCCCAAGCGUUGUUCGGAUUCACUGGGCGUAAAGGGUGCGUAGGCGGUUGGGUAAGUCUGUCGUGAAAUCUCCGAGCCUAACUCGGAAACUGCGUCGGAUACUAUUCAACUCGAGGAAUGGAGGGGAGACUGGAAUUCUCGGUGUAGCAGUGAAAUGCGCAGAUAUCAGGAGGAACACCGGUGGCGAAGGCGGGACUCUGGGCCGAUACUGACGCUGAGGAGCGAAAGCGUGGGGAGCAAACAGG